UACGUAGGGUGCGAGCGUUAAUCGGAAUUACUGGGCGUAAAGUGUGCGCAGGCGGCCGCGCAAGUCGAGUGUGAAAGCCCCGAGCUUAACUUGGGAAUUGCGCUCGAAACUACGUGGCUGGAGUGUGGCAGAGGAAGGUGGAAUUCCAGGUGUAGCGGUGAAAUGCGUAGAGAUCUGGAGGAACACCGAUGGCGAAGGCAGCCUUCUGGGCCAACACUGACGCUCAUGCACGAAAGCGUGGGGAG
RNAcentral lists this ribosomal RNA (245 nucleotides) under uncultured bacterium. Its description in RNAcentral is "partial 16S ribosomal RNA". It matches the Rfam family "Bacterial small subunit ribosomal RNA", at positions 524 to 768 of the family's 1533-position model. The record is from RNAcentral.